AUUUAAAUAGCUUAAUUAGAGUAUAAUAUUGAAGAUAUUAAGGUAACGUAAUUGUUUUUGAAUA
RNAcentral lists this transfer RNA (64 nucleotides) under Lepinotus reticulatus. Its description in RNAcentral is "tRNA-Phe". The record is from RNAcentral. Lineage: Eukaryota; Metazoa; Arthropoda; Insecta; Psocodea; Trogiidae.